This 482-nucleotide ribosomal RNA is filed under the name uncultured Pseudomonadota bacterium. Its description in RNAcentral is "bacterial SSU rRNA". It matches the Rfam family "Bacterial small subunit ribosomal RNA", at positions 898 to 1382 of the family's 1533-position model. The record is from RNAcentral. Lineage: Bacteria; Pseudomonadati; Pseudomonadota.
AACUUAAAGGAAUUGACGGGGGCCCGCACAAGCAGCGGAGCAUGUGGUUUAAUUCGACGCAACGCGAAGAACCUUACCUGGGCUUGACAUGUCCGUGUAAACCCUGGAAACAGGGUCCCUCUUCGGAGCGCGGUCACAGGUGGUGCAUGGCUGUCGUCAGCUCGUGCCGUGAGGUGUUGGGUUAAGUCCCGCAACGAGCGCAACCCUCGUACUUAGUUGCCACCAUUAAGUUGGGCACUCUAGGUAGACUGCCGGCGUUAAGCCGGAGGAAGGUGGGGACGACGUCAAGUCAUCAUGGCCCUUAUGUCCAGGGCCACACACGUGCUACAAUGGGCGGCACAAAGGGUCGCGAACCCGCGAGGGGGAGCCAAUCCCAAAAAGCCGUUCUCAGUUCGGAUUGGAGUCUGCAACUCGACUCCAUGAAGUUGGAAUCGCUAGUAAUCGCGGAUCAGCACGCCGCGGUGAAUACGUUCCCGGGCCUU